Molecule: transfer RNA, 64 nt
Filed under: Glyptotermes satsumensis
Lineage: Eukaryota; Metazoa; Arthropoda; Insecta; Blattodea; Kalotermitidae
Description: tRNA-Glu
Rfam family: tRNA
About the family: Transfer RNA (tRNA) molecules are approximately 80 nucleotides in length. Their secondary structure includes four short double-helical elements and three loops (D, anti-codon, and T loops).
Source: RNAcentral
GUUUAUAUAGUUUAAUAAAAACGUUACAUUUUCACUGUAAAAAUAAAGCAAUCUUUUAUAAAUA